CACUGCAGCACAGCAGUUACCCCUCCCUUACAAAAUAACUUGAUACCAUUACCUUCAUUAUCAAACAGAAAAGGAAUAUAAUGCUGCCACAUUUACACUGAAUGCAAUUGUGACACACUCUAUAUUUUCCCUCGCCACGAGUCCUCUAGCGGGAGUGAUGGGUGACCCGCCACACACAAAACCACUUCCUGUGGCUGAGGGCCCAGCUGGUAGCCUGAGGAAGGGUAAUUAUACAGAGCACGGUGAAUUGAGACUGAUUAUGGAAGCGUCUGUCACAGACCAGAGGAACAGGCAUGGAGAUCUGAGGAAAAAGAGCAUGCAGCACUACUGGACCGAAGCUUGAAGAGGGGUCAGACAGAGCGGGGGUAGCGCCACUUCGGACAGCACGGGGUGCCCUGCCUCUCUCACCUGGCCAGACCCACUGGCUCUCUACGGACCCCUGCUGCCCCUGCUACCUGGAUACAGACCAGACAUAGCAGCUUCUUCAACAAGCCAGAGGAGCUUUGGAGGGGAGUUCUGGCGGAGACUGGCGCCGGAGCUCGGAAGGGUCGAGGGAAGAGGACCAAGAGGAAGAUGAAGAAAAAUCUGAACUGAGGCCAGAACAUCGGAGAAGGGCAUCGGGGGGUUCCUGUGGCUGGGGUUGAACGCAGCCCAUCCUGAAGAGUGGGGCCAUACAGAACAUGUCCUGCCGUGUGGAGUCGGAGCAACAGGAACUGCAGGGGGAGCUUCUGCGGCAGCGUGACGAAUGAGAUCGCAGGAGGAAGAUGAGGGUGAAGAGGGAGCGAGGGUGGACUGGCAUCAGUCUGGGGCCCCCUGACCCUGGACCCAACGGAGGUUACGGACUACACUGUCACCGCGCGGUCAUCACCAUCUGUAAGCUGAUUGGUGUAGAGGACAUGUACGCCAAGGAAGAGGGCUCCGUCAACCUGCUCAACAUCACCAUGGCUCUGUUCACCAGACUGGCCAAUCAGAGACCCAACAGUUUCUGGCUGGUGAGUUUCAGCCGGAGCGCGGGCCCCUGCCCCUCAUCGUGGCCACCCCUAAGAAUGGAGUGCAUCCUGACCACAAACCCGAGGAAGAGACAGGACAUGAAACGCAUGACAGGGCAUGUGACGUUGUCGAAAAUGAGAGCUGUCUAAUAAAAAUGUAAACUCUCCAAAAUGGCUUGUGUUGUGUGCAAUUGCUUUUGAAGGAGCUGUCAGGACAUGUCAUGCUUUGAUGACAGUUAUA
This is a long non-coding RNA of Oncorhynchus tshawytscha (Chinook salmon), 1230 nucleotides long. The record is from Ensembl. NCBI's taxonomy places the organism in Eukaryota, Metazoa, Chordata, Actinopteri, Salmoniformes, Salmonidae.